CCGCCUGAGAAUCAUUUCGUCAAAGUUCUCCGGGAAGGAAGUUGGGACAAUUUCCUCCCGAACCUGUGGCUGGCGUAAAGGUAGAGAUGCGGUAAGAAUCUUGAUUCUGACCUUUUGGAAGCUGAUGGAAAAUCUCCGAUGAAGUUUCAAAGGAAAUGGUUAUUUAACGAGACCAAACAGGCGUACAUUUAAGGAGGCCGGCUACGACAAAUAGAGCAUAAAACCCUUUGAGGAAUGCCUGCAACUGGUAACCAACUCGACGUCUAAGAAGCCUUCGGAAGUUCGGAGAAAGAAGAUUCGGAACCUCAUUCAAACGAAGUUGAAUUGAAGGCAUGUGACCGAACCACAAAGACUGAUCCCAAAGGGGAAAUAAAGAGGUUAUGGAACCCAGUGCCAACUUACACGGGGAUGAUCUUAGAAACUCAGUACAAGUCAACAGUAUAAAUGCUAUGCAUCCCUGGAAGAAAUGAGAAGAAACUGAAAACUAAUUCUUCUUGUAUUAACAUCCUGCAUAUUUGAAGAUUCGUAGGUAUCGGAAAUUACUGUGAAUACAAUGAUGAAGACUGAACUUCAUACUAAAACAAUUGUAGUAAACAAAAUGCAGCAACCUCUAUUACUGAAGCAUAAUUGCAUAUAGUACUUCUUCAUAUAUGGAGACAGUUCUUUGAGAAUGGAUUUCAAGGAUACUGGGCAAAAUUUUUCACCAGGUGCCGAUUAUGUAGCGGUCUCUGUAUUUCAGUCAUGGAUUCUGUGUCAUAAGGUGAAAAGAAAAGAUAAAUUGGGCCUGAUAAUUCCUGCUAUUUGUGACAGUUUACCAUAGAAAACACUGAAUCGUAGCACUUGACCAAAACAAACAGUAUCAGGCAAGAGAAAAAGAAACGGUUCCAUACAAGGCAUGAAGGAAGACAAAGCUACUACUUACAUCAUAUAAAUUCAAGUCAACUGACUAGCCAAGAAAUUAUGAAAAGCAAAUUAUUGAUUGUAUCAGAUUGAGUGAUGCCCAAGUUAACAAAAAAAAUCAAAUUUUGGGUUGUGAUUUUUACACAGCCCACCACUAUUAUUCAAUGGCAUGCUACCACUACACAAGGAGCCAGUGAGCAAGGAAAUUAAGCAACAAAUCUCUUCAGUGCAGCAAAAUGUCCAGAAACUGCUCUUUACCCAGCAAAUCUACCAAGCAGUGCAAAAUAAAGCAGGUGGAUUCCACAUCCCAUACCAGCAAUUUCUGGGAUAUAUGUCCAACAGGAGAACAUUUAACAUUUCGCUCAACUGUUGCAAUCCUUGCUGCAGCCAUUACUAUGAUGCACUGGAGUUGAUGGUCCAUCAAAAUAGAGAUUGUCAUUAAGCUACCAAGUCAGUGCACAGAAUUGUACAGGAAAAAAAGGCUGACAUCCUUUCAGCUAUUCAACUUGGGUACACACACACAUCAGCUGGCCACCAAGAAAAGACAUUGGGUGACUUGCUAAAAUUGCACUAUUGGGUGACUUGCUAAAAUUGCACUAACAAGAGAUAUACUUACCAAUCAAUUUAUUACUAUUACAUCAUAAUUAAUGGGUCAUAAAGAAUCUUGCCCCAGUUUGGGCCAUCAACCUCAUUUGUUUCUUCAGACAUAUUGAUAAAGAACUACUGCCAGUAAGCCAUCAAACUUCAAAUCAAUCCCCACAAGUAGUGCAUAAAUGAAAGUCCAAAAUCCAGAUUACCUCCUCUUUGGCAGAAAUCUGAUGCUGCAUAUCAGUCAAUUAUGUACUCCAUGAAUAUACUUCUUCUCAACCUUGACAGGGUUUAGCUCAUCAAUUCAAGUCCUACACUCCGGUAAGAAUGUUACACCUACAGGA
Long non-coding RNA from Macrobrachium nipponense, 1832 nucleotides. RefSeq lists it as uncharacterized. Lineage: Eukaryota; Metazoa; Arthropoda; Malacostraca; Decapoda; Palaemonidae. The record is from RefSeq and is a predicted model, not a curated record. The transcript is spliced from 6 exons.